RNAcentral lists this ribosomal RNA (460 nucleotides) under uncultured bacterium. Its description in RNAcentral is "partial 16S ribosomal RNA". It matches the Rfam family "Bacterial small subunit ribosomal RNA", at positions 28 to 507 of the family's 1533-position model. The record is from RNAcentral.
GACGAACGCUGGCGGCGUGCUUAACACAUGCAAGUCGAGCGGUAAGGCCUCUUCGGGGGUACACGAGCGGCGAACGGGUGAGUAACACGUGGGUGACCUGCCCUCCGCUCUGGGAUAAGCCUGGGAAACUGGGUCUAAUACCGGAUAUGACCUUUCCCCUCAUGGGGGUUGGUGGAAAGUUUUUUCGGCGAGGGAUGGGCCCGCGGUCUAUCAGCUUGUUGGUGGGGUGAUGGCCUACCAAGGCGACGACGGGUAGCCGGCCUGAGUGGGCGGCCGGCCACGGUGGGAGAUAGACCCGGCCCUGACUCCGACGGGAGGCAGGGGGGGGGAAGAUUGCGCAGGGGGCGGAAGCCGGACGCAGCGCGCGUGCGGGGGGAAUGGCGGCGUGGGGGUUAUAAACCUCUUUCGACCCGGACGAAUUGGGACGGUAGGGGUAAAAGAAGCACCGGCCAACUACGUG